CUGCUUCAGGUGAUUCUGGAUCAUUAAGCCACAAGGAUGACGAAGGUUGGGAGUCAGAAACAGACAGUGUCAAUGACUGAUGGACCAUGGUUGACCACAGGUAAUUGAAACCCUGGAAGGUGAAACUGCAGAUAAGGAGGACUACAGUGUUCAACUAUUUACAAAUAAUGACAGUGGCCACAAAGAUUACCUUGAAAAGAGACCGUGAGACAGUUUCACACAGACUGUGCCUGGAUUUCCAUGAGUCUCUGCCAACUGCUUUUUAAGAGGUUUGUUGGCAGGAAGUGUCUUGGUUUUCUUGAUGGCAGAGAUAAAGAAAAAAAGAAAAAAAACAAACGUGAAAAAUUCCAAGGAUCAAUUUGCUAUUCAGUUUGGAAAAUAGUUAUUUACAAGAAGCACUGUGGCAUCUACAAGAUCUUGCUACCUCACCCAACUACUCCCUCCCUAAUCCAAAAAAAUGAGAGAAACCCAUUGCAGUCUGUGGUUGGGGUUGAUUAA
This 498-nucleotide long non-coding RNA is filed under the name Homo sapiens (human). RNAcentral's name for it is "HSALNT0403533". The record is from RNAcentral. Lineage: Eukaryota; Metazoa; Chordata; Mammalia; Primates; Hominidae.